GAUGAACGCUGGCGGCGUGCCUAAUACAUGCAAGUCGAGCGAACAGACGAGGAGCUUGCUCCUCUGACGUUAGCGGCGGACGGGUGAGUAACACGUGGAUAACCUACCUAUAAGACUGGGAUAACUUCGGGAAACCGGAGCUAAUACCGGAUAAUAUAUUGAACCGCAUGGUUCAAUAGUGAAAGACGGUUUUGCUGUCACUUAUAGAUGGAUCCGCGCCGCAUUAGCUAGUUGGUAAGGUAACGGCUUACCAAGGCAACGAUGCGUAGCCGACCUGAGAGGGGGAGCGGCCACACUGGAACUGAGACACGGUCCAGACUCCUACGGGAGGCAGCAGUAGGGAAUCUUCCGCAAUGGGCGAAAGCCUGACGGAGCAACGCCGCGUGAGUGAUGAAGGUCUUCGGAUCGUAAAACUCUGUUAUUAGGGAAGAACAAAUGUGUAAGUAACUAUGCACGUCUUGACGGUACCUAAUCAGAAAGCCACGGCUAACUACGUG
Molecule: ribosomal RNA, 497 nt
Filed under: uncultured bacterium
Lineage: Bacteria
Description: partial 16S ribosomal RNA
Rfam family: Bacterial small subunit ribosomal RNA
Source: RNAcentral